RNAcentral lists this unclassified non-coding RNA (209 nucleotides) under plant metagenome. RNAcentral's name for it is "partial contains small subunit ribosomal RNA, internal transcribed spacer 1, and 5.8S ribosomal RNA". The record is from RNAcentral.
GCUCCGUUGGUGAACCAGCGGAGGGAUCAUUAGAGAGUCUAAAAACUCCCAAACCCACUGCAAACCUACCUAUACCACUGCUUCGGCAGGCUGUCCCAGGGCGGGACCGCGGCCGCGAGGCGCCUGCCGAGGGUACCAAACUCGUUUUUAGCGGUCUUCUGAGUACUAUAAAAUAAUUAAAACUUUCAACAACGGAUCUCUUGGCUCUA